AGUGAACGCUGGCGGUAGGCCUAACACAUGCAAGUCGAACGGCAGCACAGUAAGAGUUUGCUCUUACGGGUGGCGAGUGGCGGACGGGUGAGGAAUACAUCGGAAUCUACUUUUUCGUGGGGGAUAACGUAGGGAAACUUACGCUAAUACCGCAUACGACCUACGGGUGAAAGCAGGGGAUCUUCGGACCUUGCGCGAUUGAAUGAGCCGAUGUCGGAUUAGCUAGUUGGCGGGGUAAAGGCCCACCAAGGCGACGAUCCGUAGCUGGUCUGAGAGGAUGAUCAGCCACACUGAAACUAAGACACGUUCCAGACUCCUACGGGAGGCAGCAGUGGGGAAUAUUGGACAAUGGGCACAAGCCUGAUCCAGCCAUACCGCGUGGGUGAAGAAGGCCUUCGGGUGGUAAAGCCCUUUUGUUGGGAAAGAAAAGCAGCAGGUUAAUACCCCGCUGUUCUGACGGUACCCAAAGAAUAAGCACCGGCUAACUUCGU
RNAcentral lists this ribosomal RNA (491 nucleotides) under uncultured bacterium. RNAcentral's name for it is "partial 16S ribosomal RNA". It matches the Rfam family "Bacterial small subunit ribosomal RNA", at positions 29 to 506 of the family's 1533-position model. The record is from RNAcentral.